This 253-nucleotide ribosomal RNA is filed under the name uncultured bacterium. RNAcentral's name for it is "partial 16S ribosomal RNA". It matches the Rfam family "Bacterial small subunit ribosomal RNA", at positions 524 to 776 of the family's 1533-position model. The record is from RNAcentral.
UACGUGGGGGGCAAGCGUUGUUCGGAAUUAUUGGGCGUAAAGGGUGCGUAGGCGGCGCGGUAAGUCGGGUGUGAAAUCUCGGAGCUUAACUCCGAAACUGCAUUCGAUACUGCCGUGCUUGAGGACUGGAGAGGAGACUGGAAUUUACGGUGUAGCGGUGAAAUGCGUAGAUAUCGUAAGGAAGACCAGUGGCGAAGGCGGGUCUCUGGACAGUUCCUGACGCUGAGGCACGAAGGUCAGGGGAGCAAACGGG